UACAGAGGGUGCGAGCGUUAAUCGGAAUUACUGGGCGUAAAGGGCGCGUAGGCGGCCACCGCAAGUCAGUUGUGAAAUCUCUGGGCUUAACCCAGAACGGUCAGCUGAUACUGCGGGGCUAGAGUGCAGAAGGGGCAACUGGAAUUCUCGGUGUAGCGGUGAAAUGCGUAGAUAUCGAGAGGAACACCUGCGGCGAAGGCGGGUUGCUGGGCUGACACUGACGCUGACAGCGCGAAAGCUAGGGGAGCGAACGGG
RNAcentral lists this ribosomal RNA (255 nucleotides) under uncultured bacterium. RNAcentral's name for it is "partial 16S ribosomal RNA". It matches the Rfam family "Bacterial small subunit ribosomal RNA", at positions 524 to 776 of the family's 1533-position model. The record is from RNAcentral.